This 469-nucleotide ribosomal RNA is filed under the name uncultured bacterium. RNAcentral's name for it is "partial 16S ribosomal RNA". It matches the Rfam family "Bacterial small subunit ribosomal RNA", at positions 28 to 507 of the family's 1533-position model. The record is from RNAcentral.
GACGAACGCUGGCGGCGUGCUUAACACAUGCCAGUCGAACGGAAAGGCCCUGCUUGCAGGGUGCUCGAGUGGCGAACGGGUGAGUAACACGUGGGUGAUCUGCCCCUUACUUUGGGAUAAGCCUGGGAAACUGGGUCUAAUACUGGAUAGGACCAUGCUGUAGGUGGUGUGGUGGAAAGAUUAGUUUCGGUAAGGGAUGAGCUCGCGGCCUAUCAGCUUGUUGGUGGGGUAAUGGCCUACCAAGGCGUCGACGGGUAGCCGGCCUGAGAGGGUGGACGGCCACAUUGGGACUGAGAUACGGCCCAGACUCCUACGGGAGGCAGCAGUGGGGAAUAGUGCACAAUGGGCGCAAGCCUGAUGCAGCGACGCCGCGUGGGGGAUGACGGCCUUCGGGUUGUAAACUCCUUUCAGCCAUGACGAAGCCCUUGUGGUGACGGUAGUGGUAGAAGAAGCACCGGCUAACUACGUG